Molecule: ribosomal RNA, 483 nt
Filed under: uncultured bacterium
Lineage: Bacteria
Description: bacterial SSU rRNA
Rfam family: Bacterial small subunit ribosomal RNA
Source: RNAcentral
CACAUGCAAGUCGAACGGAGAUCAUUUGGUAGAAGUUUUCGGAUGGACACUGAGUGAUCUUAGUGGCGAACGGGUGAGUAACGCGUGAGCAAUCUGCCUCAGAGUGGGGGACAACAGUUGGAAACAGGUGCUAAUACCGGACAACAAUGAUGGUUGCAUGACCAUUAUUUGAAAGGCGGCGCAAGCUGUCACUUUAGGAUGAGCCCGCGGUGCAUUAGCUAGUUGGUGAGGUAACGGCUCACCAAGGCCAUGAUGCAUAGCCGAGUUGAGAGACUGAUCGGCCACAUUGGGACUGAGACACGGCCCAAACUCCUACGGGAGGCAGCAGUGAGGAAUAUUGGUCAAUGGACGGAAGUCUGAACCAGCCAAGUAGCGUGCAGGAUGACGGCCCUAUGGGUUGUAAACUGCUUUUAUGUGGGAAUAAAGUCAGGGACGUGUCCCUGUUUGCAUGUACCACAGGAAUAAGGACCGGCUAAUUCCGUG